Molecule: ribosomal RNA, 871 nt
Filed under: uncultured bacterium
Lineage: Bacteria
Description: bacterial SSU rRNA
Rfam family: Bacterial small subunit ribosomal RNA
Source: RNAcentral
AGUCGAACGAGAGAGAAGGAGCUUGCUUCUUCGAUCGAGUGGCGAACGGGUGAGUAACGCGUGAGGAACCUGCCUCAAAGAGGGGGACAACAGUUGGAAACGACUGCUAAUACCGCAUAAGCCCACGGAUCGGCAUCGAUCUGAGGGAAAAGGAGCAAUCCGCUUUGAGAUGGCCUCGCGUCCGAUUAGCUAGUUGGUGAGGUAAUGGCCCACCAAGGCGACGAUCGGUAGCCGGACUGAGAGGUUGAACGGCCACAUUGGGACUGAGACACGGCCCAGACUCCUACGGGAGGCAGCAGUGGGGAAUAUUGCACAAUGGGGGAAACCCUGAUGCAGCGACGCCGCGUGGAGGAAGAAGGUCUUCGGAUUGUAAACUCCUGUUGUUGAGGAAGAUAAUGACGGUACUCAACAAGGAAGUGACGGCUAACUACGUGCCAGCAGCCGCGGUAAAACGUAGGUCACAAGCGUUGUCCGGAAUUACUGGGUGUAAAGGGAGCGCAGGCGGGAAGACAAGUUGGAAGUGAAAUCUAUGGGCUCAACCCAUAAACCGCUUUCAAAACUGUUUUUCUUGAGUAGUGCAGAGGUAGGCGGAAUUCCCGGUGUAGCGGUGGAAUGCGUAGAUAUCGGGAGGAACACCAGUGGCGAAGGCGGCCUACUGGGCACCAACUGACGCUGAGGCUCGAAAGUGUGGGUAGCAAACAGGAUUAGAUACCCUGGUAGUCCACACCGUAAACGAUGAUUACUAGGUGUUGGAGGAUUGACCCCUUCAGUGCCGCAGUUAACACAAUAAGUAAUCCACCUGGGGAGUACGACCGCAAGGUUGAAACUCAAAGGAAUUGACGGGGGCCCGCACAAGCAGUGGAGUAUGUGG